UACGUAGGGUGCAAGCGUUGUCCGGAAUUAUUGGGCGUAAAGAGCUCGUAGGCGGUCUGUCGCGUCGGAUGUGAAAACCCAGGGCUCAACCCUGGGCCUGCAUUCGAUACGGGCAGACUAGAGUGCGGUAGGGGAGACUGGAAUUCCUGGUGUAGCGGUGAAAUGCGCAGAUAUCAGGAGGAACACCGGUGGCGAAGGCGGGUCUCUGGGCAGUAACUGACGCUGAGGAGCGAAAGCGUGGGGAGCGAACAGG
Molecule: ribosomal RNA, 253 nt
Filed under: uncultured bacterium
Lineage: Bacteria
Description: partial 16S ribosomal RNA
Rfam family: Bacterial small subunit ribosomal RNA
Source: RNAcentral